Molecule: long non-coding RNA, 406 nt
Organism: Gadus macrocephalus (Pacific cod)
Lineage: Eukaryota; Metazoa; Chordata; Actinopteri; Gadiformes; Gadidae
Exons: 4
Source: RefSeq, a predicted model, not a curated record
AGGAGGCAGGGGAGUCAUGGAAUUGUUUCUGGCCUCCUAGUUCUUACGAUCAUAACCGCCUCCAGAAGGCAGUCGCGCACCACCUUCCUCCAGGUGCAGCGUGGGACGUGCACGGUGACGUGAGGGUCUUGGUUAGCUGUGCAACAUAUGUUAAGGCAAAGGACUACCUGAAAAAGUCCUUACUGUGUUUAACAUCAGACAUACAGUCAGAGGCUGAAGACCCUAUCAGAAGGGAAAAAAAGGCCAAACUCACACUACCUGCAGGAGCCAGCUGGAAGAGUCCAGACCACUAGGGGCCCGCCGCAACACUUUUUUGAAGGUGUGGACACUGAUGACGAGGCACCACCCCCCCCAAGGAAAACAGCACGACAAUCUGUAGAUGUAGGGCCAGGUAGGUAAAAAUAUG